This 468-nucleotide ribosomal RNA is filed under the name uncultured bacterium. Its description in RNAcentral is "partial 16S ribosomal RNA". It matches the Rfam family "Bacterial small subunit ribosomal RNA", at positions 28 to 507 of the family's 1533-position model. The record is from RNAcentral.
GACGAACGCUGGCGGCGUGCUUAACACAUGCAAGUCGAACGGAAAGGCCCUGCUUUUGUGGGGUGCUCGAGUGGCGAACGGGUGAGUAACACGUGAGUAACCUGCCCUUGACUUUGGGAUAACUUCAGGAAACUGGGGCUAAUACCGGAUAGGAGCUCCUGCUGCAUGGUGGGGGUUGGAAAGUUUCGGCGGUUGGGGAUGGACUCGCGGCUUAUCAGCUUGUUGGUGGGGUAGUGGCUUACCAAGGCUUUGACGGGUAGCCGGCCUGAGAGGGUGACCGGCCACAUUGGGACUGAGGUACGGCCCAGACUCCUACGGGAGGCAGCGGUGGGGAAUAUUGCCCAAUGGGCGGAAGCCUGAUGCAGCAACGCCGCGUGCGGGAUGACGGCCUUCGAGUUGUAAACCGCUUUCGCCUGUGACGAAGCGUGAGUGACGGUAAUGGGUAAAGAAGCACCGGCUAACUACGUG